Molecule: ribosomal RNA, 247 nt
Filed under: uncultured bacterium
Lineage: Bacteria
Description: partial 16S ribosomal RNA
Rfam family: Bacterial small subunit ribosomal RNA
Source: RNAcentral
AUACGUAGGGAGCAAGCGUUGUCCGGAAUUACUGGGCGUAAAGGGUGCGUAGGCGGCGCAGUUAGUCAGAAGUGAAAUAUCGGGGCUUAACCUCGGGACUGCUUCUGAUACUGCUGUGCUUGAGUGCAGGAGAGGUAAGUGGAAUUCCUAGUGUAGCGGUGGAAUGCGUAGAUAUUAGGAGGAACACCAGUGGCGAAGGCGACUUACUGGACUGUAACUGACGCUGAGGCACGAAAGCGUGGGUAGC